This is a long non-coding RNA of Zootermopsis nevadensis, 596 nucleotides long. RefSeq lists it as uncharacterized. The record is from RefSeq and is a predicted model, not a curated record. Lineage: Eukaryota; Metazoa; Arthropoda; Insecta; Blattodea; Termopsidae.
UCAGAAGUAGAUACAUCGUCGUAGAAUACCAUAACAAAGAAACAACAUACAGCAGAACGAGUAUAAGCGGCAACUUCAUUGUCAUCUCUUUAUUGAGCAGCAAUCCAAGUCACAUGAUCAGUUGCCUAGCAACACUGGCUCCUCACCGAACCAGAACUGCAAGUUACACGAGUAAAGAAGGUCAUGUAAGAGGUUGUGACGCCGUGUACAGGUCCUGAACAUGAAGGCAACAGGUUCUUACGAAACGUUGGUAAUCAUACGAUCACCCGGCUUCACAACCCAGAAACCAGGAUCAACAAAUGGUUUAUAGAACACAUGGACCAAACUUAAUUUUCCACCAACUGGACUGCUCCAAACUCUAAGGUGUCUGGCUGCCACAGUCUGAAGUAUUGCUCUGUUUGUUCCGUUCCACAGUUUUACAAAUAACCUUUCUUCGAGAUGAAGUUGCGAAAACUGAAGUCAUGAGAAAUAGCACCAACUACUGAUUGUUCAUUACAGGCGUUGAACAGAAAGGCUUAUCAAAACACUAAUUAAUCUGCCGACUAAAUAUUUUCUGAUGUCUGAGAUGUGAAAUGUGUCAAUGUUCCGGGUUGUAU